RNAcentral lists this long non-coding RNA (421 nucleotides) under Struthio camelus australis. RNAcentral's name for it is "lncRNA (ENSSCUG00000014354.1)". Lineage: Eukaryota; Metazoa; Chordata; Aves; Struthioniformes; Struthionidae. The record is from RNAcentral.
ACUUGCUCCGGGCAGGGGUGGCAGCGAAGCCUUUCCUCCGCGGGCAGCGAAGGGUGCGGAGAACCGUGCUGUUUCCAGCACCUUUCACGAGGGGUCAUCGUACACCAGCGCGCCUCUAAACAGCAAAGCGCUGCAGGAAACAGUCAGAUAGCGCAGGUGGGCGACCUCGAGGAAGAGCUGUGCCUGGAAGAGGAACAGGCAGCGGGUAUAAGGAGCUACUGCUUUUAAUUGGUGGAAUCGAGAAAACAUACAGAAGCAGAUACUGUGAAGAACUGGCGUCGAAUACAUAGGAGAGUUUAUGUUCCUCCCAUGAAACACUGGCAUAAAAGAUAAAAUAUAAUCUAUUUUACACCCAAAAUCUAAGGAUUUUACAUUUCUUCUAGUUUUUAUUUUAGGAAUUUCAACCUGUGGCAUAUGUGUG